ACGCCAGUGGUGAAACGGUUAUCAUGCUUGCCUUCCAGUUGCUUAUCGCAGCACAAACGGCAGCAAGCGGCGGGGGUUCGACUCCCUCCUGGCGUA
RNAcentral lists this transfer RNA (96 nucleotides) under Cylindrobasidium torrendii FP15055 ss-10. It matches the Rfam family "tRNA". From Rfam's summary of the family: Transfer RNA (tRNA) molecules are approximately 80 nucleotides in length. Their secondary structure includes four short double-helical elements and three loops (D, anti-codon, and T loops). Further hydrogen bonds mediate the characteristic L-shaped molecular structure. tRNAs have two regions of fundamental functional importance: the anti-codon, which is responsible for specific mRNA codon recognition, and the 3' end, to which the tRNAs corresponding amino acid is attached (by aminoacyl-tRNA synthetases). tRNAs cope with the degeneracy of the genetic code in two manners: having more than one tRNA (with a specific anti-codon) for a particular amino acid; and 'wobble' base-pairing, i.e. permitting non-standard base-pairing at the 3rd anti-codon position. The record is from Rfam by way of RNAcentral. Lineage: Eukaryota; Fungi; Basidiomycota; Agaricomycetes; Agaricales; Physalacriaceae.